GUGAAGGACCAAGGGUUGGGUCAAUGGGGACCAAGGCUGGGUGAAGGACCAAGGGUGGGGUCAAUGGAGACCAAGGUUGGGUGGAGGACCAUGGUUGGGUGCCACCAAGGACCAAGGUUGGGUGAAGAACCAAGGUUGGGUGCCACCAAGGAGCAAGAGUUGGGUGGAGACCAAGGGUGGGGUCAAUGGAGACCAAGGUUGGGUGGAGGACCAUGGGUGGGUGCCACCAAGGACCAAGGUUGGGUGGAGGACCAAGACCACCCCACCGAGGUCACCCACCACCCCAGAAGGUCCUCAAGCUUCUCCACCGCACCCAGAUCCUCCAGAAGGUCCUCAAGCUUCUCCACCACGGUUGGGUGCCACCAAGACCACGCUCAGGUGCCACCAAGACCAAGGUUGGGUGAAGGACCAGGACCACCCACCACCCCAGAAGGUCCUCAACUUCUCCACCGAGGUCAGGUGCCACCAGGAACCAUGGUUGGGUGCCACCAAGACCACGGUUGGGUGAAGGACCAAGACCACCCACCACCCCAGAAGGUCCUCAACUUCUCCACCGAGGUCAGGUGCCACCAGGAACCAUGGUUGGGUGCCACCAAGACCACGUUCGGGUGCCACCAAGACCACGGUUGGGUGAAGGACCAAGACCACCCACCACCCCAGAAGGUCCUCAACUUCUCCAAGCCCACCCCAUCUCACCUGAGGUUGGAGGACCACCUUCAAGGGCACCGUCACCCUCUGGCCGCCGCCACCCACCACCUGCGGCACCGAGGACACGGCCACCGGCGUCCCUUGUCCUCCCCCCCCUCCGCCGGGGGUGGCUUGUUGGAGAAGUUGGAUCUUCUGAGGACCUCCCGUUUGACCGGCUGGAGGUUGUUGAACUUGAAGUUGGAUGGUGACCACCUUGGCCGGUUGCCCAGGUGUCCCCUUGGCUUGACCGAGGGUGGCCAGUUGGUUGCCCUGAAGGACAAUUUUGCCGGGCAAACUCCCGAGGACAACGUGCCGUUGACCGGGCGGGGCGGAGCCACCGGGUGGUUGUUGAAGGACCAAGGUGAUACGUUUGGAUUCACCCUAGAGAAGAAGACAACAAAGAAGGCGGGGUCAAGACCUGAAGGACAACUUGGGGACACCCAGAGGGGAGGUGGACCUCGAGGAGGCGGGGAACGUGGUUACGGGGAGGUGGCUUCAAGAGCGAGGUUCUCAAGAACUUCUGAAGAAGCCACACUCGGGUGGUGGCCCCAACCCUGAAGAUCUCAAGAACUUCUGAGGGACCCACUCUUGGGAUGGGACCUUGACCCCGAGGUGUCCUCGACCUUGAAGAUCUCAAGAACUUCUCAGGAACCCGCUCUUGGGUGGUAGCCCCAACCUUGAAGAUCUCAAGAACUUCUGAGGGACCCCCUCUUGGGUGGUGGCCCCAACCUUGAAGAUCUCAAGGACUUUGGGG
RNAcentral lists this long non-coding RNA (1441 nucleotides) under Calidris pygmaea (Spoon-billed sandpiper). RNAcentral describes it as "lncRNA (ENSCPGG00000017242.1)". The record is from RNAcentral. Lineage: Eukaryota; Metazoa; Chordata; Aves; Charadriiformes; Scolopacidae.